AUGCCGGCCAAUUCCGCACCUGGAAUUUUCUCAAUAAAAUGCGGAGACCCGCUGUAAGAUUUGGUCGUAAAGUUCUGUUGUUAGGUAGGAAACAAGUACUCGAAUAGGGCGGUCCUUGACCGGUAUCUAACAGAAAAACCACGACAAACUCSUCCAGCACGCGGUAAUAUAUAGGUGCCAAGCUGUUCCGGAUAUAUAUGGGCGUAAAGGGGCUCGCACGGCCGGUUCUUAAUCUGAUGUGAAAAACCCCCGGCUCCACCCCGGCGGGUCAUUGGAAACUGGGGAACUUGAGUGCAGAAGAAGAAGAGGUGGGAUUUCCCCUGUASCGGUGAAAAGCGUAGAGAUGUGGAGGAAMACCAGUGGCGAAGGCGGCUCUCUUGGUCUGUUACUGACGCUGAGGAGCGAAAGCGUGGGGAGCGAACAGGAUUAGAUACCUGGUUGUCCCGCCGUAAACGAUGAGUUAAGUGUUAGGGGGUUUUCGCCCCUUAGUGCUGCAGCUAACGCAUUAAGCACUCCGCCUGGGGAGUACGGUCGCAAGACUGAAAACUCAAAGGAAUUGACGGGGGCCCGCACCAGCGUGGAGCAUGUGGUUUAAUUGAAGCAACGCGAAGAACCUACCAGGUCUUGACAUCCUCUGACAAUCCUAGAGAUAGGACGUCCCUUCGGGGGCAGAGUGACAGGUGGUGCAUGGUUGUCGUCAGCUCGUGUCGUGAGAUGUUGGGUUAAGUCCCGCAACGAGCGCAACCCUUGAUCUUAGUUGCCAGCAUUCAGUUGGGCACUCUAAGGUGACUGCCGGUGACAAACCGAGGAAGGUGGGGAUGACGUCAAAUCAUCAUGCCCCUUAUGACCUGGGCUACACACGUGCUACAAUGGACAGAACAAAGGGCAGCGAAACCGCGAGGUUAAGCCAAUCCCACAAAUCUGUUCUCAGUUCGGAUCGCAGUCUGCAACUCGACUGCGUGAAGCUGGAAUCGCUAGUAAUCGCGGAUCAGCAUGCCGCGGUGAAUACGUUCCCGGGCCUUGUACACACCGCCCGUCACACCACGAGAGUUUGUAACACCGAAGUCGGUAGGUAACCUCUUAGGAGCCAGCGCUCGAUCGUGUACAACU
RNAcentral lists this ribosomal RNA (1110 nucleotides) under Bacillus subtilis. RNAcentral describes it as "bacterial SSU rRNA". It matches the Rfam family "Bacterial small subunit ribosomal RNA", at positions 408 to 1472 of the family's 1533-position model. The record is from RNAcentral. Lineage: Bacteria; Bacillati; Bacillota; Bacilli; Caryophanales; Bacillaceae.